RNAcentral lists this ribosomal RNA (594 nucleotides) under Bacillus pumilus. RNAcentral describes it as "bacterial SSU rRNA". It matches the Rfam family "Bacterial small subunit ribosomal RNA", at positions 173 to 747 of the family's 1533-position model. Lineage: Bacteria; Bacillati; Bacillota; Bacilli; Caryophanales; Bacillaceae. The record is from RNAcentral.
UUCCUUGAACCGCAUGGUUCAAGGAUGAAAGACGGUUUCGGCUGUCGACUUACAGAUGGACCCGCGGCGCAUUAGCUAGUUGGUGGGGUAAUGGCUCACCAAGGCUAGACGAUGCGUAGCCGACCUGUAGAGGGUGAUCGGCCACACUGGGACUGAGACACGGCCCAGACUCCUACGGGAGGCAGCAGUAGGGAAUCUUCCUGCAAUGGACGAAAGUCUGACGGAGCAACGCCGCGUGAGUGAUGAAGGUUUUCGCGAUCGUAAAGCUCUGUUGUUAGGGAAGAACAAGUGCGAGAGUAACUGCUCGCACCUUGACGGUACCUGACAACCAGAAAGCCACGGCUAACUACGUGCCAGCAGCCGCGGUAAUACGUAGGUGGCAAGCGUUGUCCGGAAUUAUUGGGCGUAAAGGGCUCGCAGGCGGUUUCUUAAGUCUGAUGUGAAAGCCCCCGGCUCAACCGGGGAGGGUCAGUUGGAAACUGGGAAACUUGAGUGCAGAAGAGGAGAGUGGAAUUCCACGUGUAGCGGUGAAAUGCGUAGAGAUGUGGAGGAACACCAGUGGCGAAGGCGACUCUCUGGUCUGUAACUGACGCU